AAAAAGGGUUCAAGCAGCAGAUCCAUUUUCUGCCACCGAAUACAUUAGCAUGGGAUAAUGGAAUAGGACCCUGUCCUCCUAUUUUCAGUUGGUUUUGGCAGCGCGAGGACUAGGGUAAUGAUUAAUAGGGAUAGUUGGGGGCAUUAAUAUUUAAUUGUCAGAGGUGAAAUUCUUGGAUUUAUGAAAGAUUAACUUCUGCGAAAGCAUCUGCCAAGGAUGUUUUCAUUAAUCAAGAACGAAAGUUAGGGGAUCGAAGACGAUCAGAUACCGUCGUAGUCUUAACCAUAAACGAUGCCGACCAGCGAUUAGGAGACGUUGAAUACAAAACACCACCAUCGGCGCGGUCGUCCUUGGCGUUGGUCCUUCACGGGGCCGGCGCGAGGGCGGCUUAGCCCGGUGGCACCGGUGAAUGACUCCCCUAGCGCCUUGGUGAGAAAAAAAAAGAAGGAUAAAGAAUUAGGG
Molecule: ribosomal RNA, 462 nt
Filed under: Acanthamoeba genotype T4
Lineage: Eukaryota; Discosea; Longamoebia; Acanthamoebidae
Description: SSU rRNA
Rfam family: Eukaryotic small subunit ribosomal RNA (bases 1-355)
Source: RNAcentral